Non-coding RNA from Phrynosoma platyrhinos (Desert horned lizard), 73 nucleotides. The record is from the annotation of a GenBank genome assembly. Lineage: Eukaryota; Metazoa; Chordata; Lepidosauria; Squamata; Phrynosomatidae.
GCCAGUGUGGUGUAGUGGCUUGAAUGUUGGACUAGGAUUCCAGGAGACAAGGGUUCAAAUCCCUGCUCAGCCA